GAAAAUCGCACUGGAACCCCGCAGAACUAACAAUCGAACUAACGUGCAAUGUUUCAAAUGGUUUAUAGAUAGUUCAGAAGGCUAAACAUAGGUGUAGUUAACAACAGAGGAGCAACUGAUGAUUUCAUCAAAGUGGUCAUAAUAGUGGCGUCAUCCAUUCUGGCAUUUAUUACACUCCUGGAAGUCUCAAAGCAAAACUAUGUGUAGAAGGCCUGGAACUUGCUUAUAAAUAUUGCGAUGAAAAAAAUAUACCUUACAAAAAGUGUGGAAAGUUUUUCAGAUUCUUUCUCAGUUGACGAGGACGUCAAGUUUAUCAGGACGGCCGAUUGUGGUGUACGGAGCGUCAUCACUCAACAGAAAAUAAGAAGCUAUCUGAUUCCCGCCAUUAAAACUGUAUUCAGUGCUGUAAUAGCGUUUAUCCAUGUAA
Molecule: long non-coding RNA, 427 nt
Organism: Argiope bruennichi
Lineage: Eukaryota; Metazoa; Arthropoda; Arachnida; Araneae; Araneidae
Exons: 3
Source: RefSeq, a predicted model, not a curated record